UGUAGAUAAUUUUAUUCAUAAUAGUAAUAAUAAUAAUAAUAAUAUAAUUAAUGAUCAGUAAUAAAUAUAAUGAAUAAUAAUAAUAAUAUUAUGUUAAAUCGUAGCAAAUCUUUGUAAGUGGUGGUAUUAUAAUAUAAUAAUAAUAAUAAUAAUAAUAGUAAUAAUAAUAUUAAUAAUGACUAUUUAAUAAUACAAUAAUUCACACCUAACAACAACCGCGAAUAUAAGUGUCCGCGCAUUUUUAUUGUACACUCAAAGACACGCGCGUGUGGGCGCAUAUUAUUAUUACUAUAUACGAAAUAAACGAAUGAGUAAUGAAAAAUUAAUUAAUCGUAAUAAAUGUCUAAUAAUCGAUAAUUAUAAUAUGCGUGUGCCGAAUGAAAACCGAAAAUUACAAUGCUCGAAUAUUAUUAGUAUUAUACAACGUGUAGUACACGCGUGAAAACGAUAUUUAUAAUACAGUAUUAUUUGUAUAGUAAUGCACAACGUUGCGACAUCACGCCCGCGUAUGUGUUAUAAUAACUGUGUAACGCAUAGAACACCGUGUACAAUAAUUACACGGGGCGGGGUACUGAAACGAACGAGAAAACGGCAAUAUUGUGAACCGGAUUAUUCAGUGGCGAUCGCCCGAGUGUCCGGAUGACGGUAUUUUUGGGACCUCCGUCCCCGAAACCAGGGGGCUUGUAUUACAUUGAUUUUUCUCGGGACGUUUUCGCGCGCGUUCGACAAAAAUUAUUAGGCGGCGCAACGUUCUCGUACUUUUGCACGAUUAAAACGCGCCUAAAAAAAAAAAAAAGAAACAUUUGUCGCCAGAACGGGUGGAGGGGGGAGGGGAAAUUUCGCGACGAAAACACCCUGUAUACUAUAAGUAUAUUAACUACGGUAUUGUAGCCGGAGUCGUGGUUAAACACAACGCCCGGAGCCUCCGGGAACGCGUAACCAGAUACCUUAAUAAUAUUAUGUACGCAGACUUUUUUAUCCGGCCGUGAAAUACGCUUAGCGCACACGAAAAACAAUCAAACGAGGAGCAGGCUAAAACUUUUCUGUUUUUUUUUUUUUCUAAGAAAGAAAAAUUUUUUAUCGUAAGACUUGAUCGGAUACGUGCCUAUAUUAUACUUUUCUGCGGUUGACGUGUUGACGGAAAUAAAUCGAAUUGAAUUCAAGCGGACAUUUAAAACGUAAUUUACCAAAAAAAAACCGAUGCGAUUCAAAACAGCGUGCGUUUACAUUAUAGGUGAUCCCGAACAUGGGCGAUCGAUACAUCCAAUUGGCUCCCGAGAUUCGCCCGAUUCGAUCGUUUUUAAAAUCGAAAUUAAUCUUUAGCAGUUGUUCGGCUAGAUUGACGUGCAGACAUCCAUAGACAGACGAUACAAUAUUAUUGCACGUUUACGCCGAAAACCAAAAGGCGAUAUUGCGGUCGUCGUCGGUUAUUACCGCAUAGACCCGGUAACAUACAUUUGUAUCAGACGGCGCUCGAAUUGGGGAAAGAGGCGUGCAGAGUGCCUUUACGCUUUUUUUUUCUUCCACGAGUCUUAGCUGGGAACCCGUAUACGGAAACUUUACGCAGGAAGUGACAAUGGAAUUUUUUAUUUUUCCCCCCAGUAAUUUCGCGUAACAUCCCUAAAACUCGGAAAUUCAACGAUUCUAAAUUCGGAAAAAUUAAUAAUUUCUUAGUUUUUAUUAUUUAUAUUAUUAUUCAUUUUUUUUUUUUUUUUUUUUUUGCGGUAUCUUAUGGGUACGCGAUUUUUUCAAGUUGAAACAUUAUCGGUAAAUUUAUUUACCAAAUUGAUAAGUCGGUAUAUGGAAUCGGUACGUCAUUGACCAUACUCUUCUAUCGACGUUUGUUUCGUUUACGCCGGCUUUGUUUACACCGAAAUCAGGAGUUUGCCCACCCCCGCCCCCCGAUUCGAGCACCGACAGUAAUAACUAAUAAUAAACCGUGUCCACGGGUCCGCCGGUGUGUAUUACAAUACCGGGGUGUUUGGGUCGGUCGUGCGAACGUCACGGAUAAGUACGUUGUAAAUCUCUCCGCGUCGCGUAACACCCGUCAACAGAAUACGCACGGGGAGCCCGAUUCGAGCCGGGAAAAUAUCGCGGAAACCGUGUCGUCCAGAGUGAACACAUUAUCGCUAUUACUCUACCGCCUUGUUCCUGAUUCGGAAAAACAAAAUUUACGUCGACGAAAGCCGCGUGCGCCGUUUCGCGAGCCGAUUUCCGGACCGGGGGAACGGGGGGACGGGGGGGGGGGAAACACACGAGCAGUAGAGCACCGUGACUAGAGUCCGAUUUUCUCCCAGACGACUAUUGCUGCCGUUACAAUAAUGAUUCUGGUAAAGUUCGAGUUGGAAGUUCAAACGUUCUGUAACGGCGCAUACACGACAACAUUUCACGUGUACGCAUUUUAACCAACUCACUUACUUUCGUGAGCCAGUAAGGGUAUUUAAAUGGCGUUUCGGGGGUUGACAGUUGAAACCGCCCAGAAGGCACGUCCUCGAUACCUACACGCCUGCGCGCAUAUACAAAAGUGCAUCGUACGUUUCCUUCAUUUUGGGGCCUGUAGGGGUGUACAUUGUACGAAAGCUAUAAAAACACCGUCCUCCUGUUCUUCCUCCUUCUCCUCCUCCGUUCGCAUUGAAAUUCAACCGAAAUUUGCUCUCUUCGAUCCGGUAAUAGGAAAGAAAAGAAAAAAACAACAACUACUAGUUUUGGUUUGGAGGGAGUCACUAGAGGUGUCCGGUCGUGCCGGCGAUACGAUUUUGUAUAUAACCGCGGACACAAAACAGCGCGAGUAUCUGUUUUCAAUUUUCGAAAAAGAAACAAAAAUAUGUUCGUAAUGAAACGACUACGGCGGCGUGCAUUGUUAAUAGACGCGUUUCGGCGACGCGGUUUCCGGUUAACGGUUUGCCGCGCAUUGUGUUUUACCAACGGGGACCGGAGACGUUGAACGUAAUUUUUAAAACGGUUUGCGAUUCCGCGGUAACCCCUCCUCUCCCCCCCCUCCGGCUGGUCGUCGAAACGUGCGUUCGGUCGUGCCGUCAAAACACGCCCAUCGUGUACGGAUUUCCGGGUUCGGCACACGCCGCGCGAUAAUAUUUAACGUUCAGGUACCCAUGUAUGUAAUUCGUUUCGAAUUGCGAACGGUUUUGGCACGUCGGAAAAAUAUACAUACCUAAUGAUUAUUAUCAUACGUAAUGUCUUAGGCAUAAAAGAAACAAAAAAAAAAACCACGAAAAAUCCGAUACAUUCGCAAUCAAAAUGCACCGAUAAUAAUAUUAUAGUAUAUAUGUAUAUAUAUAUACAUAUACAUAUAUAUAUAUAUAAAUAGAAUAGGAACCACGGGCGAGCACACUUAAAAUAGGGAAAAAAAAAAACACUCGAUUUUGG
Molecule: non-coding RNA, 3384 nt
Organism: Cinara cedri
Lineage: Eukaryota; Metazoa; Arthropoda; Insecta; Hemiptera; Aphididae
Source: the annotation of a GenBank genome assembly